GAUGAACGCUAGCGACAGGCCUAACACAUGCAAGUCGAGGGGCAGCGAAGAGGUAGCAAUACCUUUGUCGGCGACCGGCGCACGGGUGAGUAACACGUAUGCAAUCCACCUGUAACAGGGGGAUAACCCGGAGAAAUCCGGACUAAUACCCCAUAAUAUGGGCGCUCCGCAUGGAGGGCUCAUUAAAGAAAGCAAUUUGGUUACAGACGAGCAUGCGCUCCAUUAGCCAGUUGGCGGGGUAACGGCCCACCAAAGCGACGAUGGAUAGGGGUUCUGAGAGGAAGGUCCCCCACAUUGGAACUGAGACACGGUCCAAACUCCUACGGGAGGCAGCAGUGAGGAAUAUUGGUCAAUGGUCGGCAGACUGAACCAGCCAAGUCGCGUGAGGGAAGACGGCCCUACGGGUUGUAAACCUCUUUUGUCGGAGAGUAAAGUACGCUACGUGUAGCGUAUUGCAAGUAUCCGAAGAAAAAGCAUCGGCUAACUCCGUG
This 491-nucleotide ribosomal RNA is filed under the name uncultured bacterium. RNAcentral's name for it is "bacterial SSU rRNA". It matches the Rfam family "Bacterial small subunit ribosomal RNA", at positions 28 to 507 of the family's 1533-position model. The record is from RNAcentral.